GUGAGGAAUUUUCCGCAAUGGGCGAAAGCCUGACGGAGCAAUGCCGCGUGAAGGAUGAAGGCCUUCGGGUUGUAAAGUUCUUUAGCCGAUGAUUAUAAUGACUGUAGUCGGAAAAUAAGCCCCGGCUAACUUCGUGCCAGCAGCCGCGGUAAUACGAAGGGGGCUAGCGUUGCUCGGAAUUACUGGGCGUAAAGGGCGCGUAGGCGGACAGCUUAGUCAGAGGUGAAAGCCCAGGGCUCAACCUUGGAAUUGCCUUUGAUACUGGCUGUCUUGAGUUUGGGAGAGGUGAGUGGAACUCCGAGUGUAGAGGUGAAAUUCGUAGAUAUUCGGAAGAACACCAGUGGCGAAGGCGACUCACUGGCCCAAUACUGACGCUGAGGCGCGAAAGCGUGGGGAGCAAACAGGAUUAGAAACCCCGGUAGUCC
Molecule: ribosomal RNA, 425 nt
Filed under: uncultured bacterium
Lineage: Bacteria
Description: partial 16S ribosomal RNA
Rfam family: Bacterial small subunit ribosomal RNA
Source: RNAcentral